Molecule: non-coding RNA, 1339 nt
Organism: Paralichthys olivaceus (Japanese flounder)
Lineage: Eukaryota; Metazoa; Chordata; Actinopteri; Pleuronectiformes; Paralichthyidae
Source: RefSeq, a predicted model, not a curated record
GGAGGCUGCGGAGCUUCCCCACAGCUCACAUCUCACACCUGCAUCAGGCCCGCUGGUUUCACACUGGAGGCCCACGGUGGGUCCACGGGAAGAGGCGCGACUCGCCUCACAAAUGGGCAAUGGAUUUCUACUCUGCUCCUGGACUUACCCAUGCGUGCGCACCGACUGCCCUGAGGCCGGGGUCGCUCUGCCAAGACCCCUCGGAUCUGUGCGUGCACCCUGACUCCGUCUGUAGGAUGCAGUGGAUACUCGUCGCCGGUGUAAACAGGCAGAGGCCAGUCUCCGCACGAAGCAACAUCCUUAUCGCGGGUAAUUGACUGAGGAGUCUUUCGGGAGAACAGCAAGAGCCCUGGCCCUGGCCCUGCCCACCCUGGGUCAUUUAUCAUGGACCAGGAGGGGAGCCCCCGGGCCUGCAGGCCCCUGUCAGCCCCUGCAAUCGCCUCUUUGUGGCUCCCAGCAAACAAGUGUCGGAUCAGCAAAAGUCUAUUAAAGCCUGGUGGGCCUUUCUCAGCCUAUUGGGUUCGGGUCACUGAGCUGCUCUCCUUGCUGCUCCUAGAGCUCUUUGUGUCGCCGCCGUUCGCUGACACAGAUCCCCACAAGAUUAAUGAUUUUUAGCAGCCAUUUGGGUCUCAUUCGCAGGGUCUUUCUCUCUUUCUAUCUGUUUGCCCUUUUUCUUAUUUUCUCCACUCAUUCUGUUCUCUUUCUUUCCUUUAACCUAUUUCUUCUACCACUCUCUGUACCCUCUGAUUUCUCGCUUUUACUCCUCUCCACCUCCCAUUCACUGCAAAUCCAAUCAAUGUUGACUGUUUGUGUAAGGUCAUUAUCCAUACAUGUGUGAUUGCCAUUAGUUCCUUCAAUAUAACUAUUUUCUCUCUUUUACAGAUUUUAUGAUGCAAAGGAUUUAAAUUGCAGUUGGAAAACAUGUUUUCAGUUGUUUGAGUGAUGGACUCCUGUCUGAUAAAUCAAACUCAAGCUUCCACAUUAGGGUUCUGAAUUUCCCGCAGUCUGCCUCAAGAGGCCCAGAGCAAUUUGAAAUCUUCGAGCCACUUCCACGACUUCCAUGUUACCAUGUUCUCAGUGUUGUUUCCAGUAAUUACUGCAGGUUAAGUGCACGUCCCGGAGCCCGGUGGAGGCAGCUAUAUCCCUCACAUGGGACAUGACUCAGCACAGUUCAGGUCAUCCGGCCAUUUCCCUGACCACUGGACCACACCCCAACCUACUCUAAACCCACAGGACAAGCUGUAUUUAUGAAGGACUCCUGUUCACUUACAUCACCUAAUAUAAUGGCUGUUUUAUUUACUUGCUGGUUUUUUUUCAUUGGUUUUGCAGAAACAAGCUU